This 914-nucleotide long non-coding RNA is filed under the name Camarhynchus parvulus. RNAcentral describes it as "lncRNA (ENSCPVG00000006619.2)". Lineage: Eukaryota; Metazoa; Chordata; Aves; Passeriformes; Thraupidae. The record is from RNAcentral.
GUGAUGUGUCACACACUUUCCACUCUGAUGCAUGAGUAAGGAAGAAUGCAAAGAUUGGUGGCAAAGUGUGGUUAGGUGGAUCAAUAAACCACAGGAUGUUUUGGAUUCUGGAGCUGUAAGGAACAGUGGGAGGCAUUGGAAAGUGUGUAUUCACCAGCACCUGGGGACUGCUCCCAUGCCCGAAUGCAGGUAUGAAACUAAGUAGGAAAUGGUAGCAGGAAGCCUCAAAUUGAAUUGGCAAUGACACAGAAAAAAGUAGGGAAAAACAGGAAAUGGGACCCCAGCACAUCCUUAAACUUGAUGUGCAGCAAAUGUUUGUCUGUGGAGGCUUUGUCCUUUACUGUGUGGGAUGCCCUAAAGCAUGACAUUCUUUCCCACUUGCUGUGUUCCUAGAUUGUUGAUGUUCUAAUUUUGAACAGAUGUCUCUAGUAAGUAAAUGGUGAUUCAGUUUUUCAUUGGCCAAGUUCAUGUUCCAGCUGUAGACAGGAGGACACACAUUGGUUCCUGUGAAGGCAUCAGAGCUCAGUCUGUGACUCAUGGCAGACGGUGGCCAAUGCUCAGGGUCAAUAACUGUAGCAAUUGUAUUCCCUGAAAGUUACCAGCCAUUCCAAGGAGGGAAAACCAUGCUGGGGUGGUGCUGGGGUGGUCUUUGGCUUUGUGAGACGUCACUGAUUCCAAAGAGCAUUCACACCUGCCAGCCUUUGCUACUGCUGUCAAUGCUCAGGGGAUCAGUGCCCUUCCCUGGCUCAGCGCCCAGUGCCAACAGAACACCUUGCAGGAUCCUCAGCAGCGCAGACAACACUCCAAGAUGCCGGCCUCGGCUUGGAACGGAGCGGUGUCAUGGCGGAGACGACGGCCUUUGUCUCGCAGGGUGUGAAAGCAUCCGUUGUGCUGGCUCCACUGCGGCAGAAUGA